This 253-nucleotide ribosomal RNA is filed under the name uncultured bacterium. RNAcentral's name for it is "partial 16S ribosomal RNA". It matches the Rfam family "Bacterial small subunit ribosomal RNA", at positions 524 to 776 of the family's 1533-position model. The record is from RNAcentral.
UACGAAGGGGGCUAGCGUUGUUCGGAAUCACUGGGCGUAAAGCGCACGUAGGCGGUUGUUCAAGUCGGGUGUGAAAGCCUUGAGCUCAACUCAAGAAAUGCACUCGGUACUGGAUGACUAGAGGACCGGAGAGGAUAGUGGAAUUCCCAGUGUCGUGGUGAAAUACGUAGAGAUUGGGAAGAACACCAGUGGCGAAGGCGGCUAUCUGGACGGUUUCUGACGCUAAGACGCGAAAGCGUGGGGAGCAAACAGG